GGGAGAUGGAUGAAGAUGAUCAGUUUCCCCAAUGCAGCCUUAUUUCGGAACAAAUCCCUAACGCUCGUCUAUCUCUCUUCUCUGGCCGAUGCCGGAGAACUAGCCUCAUCGACCGCCGAUCUGUAAGCACAGACAGCGCGCCCAACCAUCAGAGGGGAUUUGCCGCUCAAACUUCAUCGGAAGUCACUACUUUUUGUGUGCUCUUCUUUGGAGUCCAUCGUUUCUCUCUCGCCCCACAGCAGCGCCGGCGGUUUACUUGUAACCGUCCUCAUGUAGGCCCAUGCGACACAACAAGGAGAGAUGCUGCUAACCAAUUGAACUCUUAUUUGGGCAAUCCUCGCUUAACAGUGAAAAAACCAGAACCAAGAACAACAUUAUCCAUGCGACUCUGAGUGAAGCUAACACUUCAUCAUAGUUUCUGACGCACUGGAUGAUGUAAGAGGUUAUUGUGGAAAUCUGGCGGAUCUUACUUUUACAUCUGAGAAUGGAUUCUGGUGUCAUUGUUGGGAAUACAAAUUCAGAGCCUCGAGAUGAUAUGGAAUUUGAAUCACAUGAGGCAGCAUAUGCAUUCUAUAAAGAAUAUGCCAAGUCGGUUGGGUUUGGUACUGCAAAGCUCAGCAGCCGUCGUUCAAGAGCAUCCAAGGAAUUUAUUGAUGCAAAAUUUUCAUGCAUCAGAUAUGGAAACAAGCAACAAUCUGAUGAUGCUAUUAACCCACGACCUUCACCAAAGAUAGGUUGCAAAGCAAGCAUGCAUGUCAAGAGAAGGGCCAGUGGAAAGUGGUACAUUCAUAGUUUGAUAAAGGAGCACAAUCAUGAGCUUCUACCAGCCCAAGCACAUUUUUUCCGAAGCCAUAGGAAUGUUGACUUCCUUAAGAAUGAUGCUAAAAUACGAAGAAGGAAGAUCUUGGCGGCUGUAUCCAAACAAUAUGGUGCAUAUCAAUACACUGGUUCUCUAGAGACCUACAUUCGUAGCCAGCAUGAUAGAGGACGCUUUUUGACCUUAGAAGAGGGAGAUGCUCAAUUUUUGCUUGAUUUUUUUGUGCACAUGCAAGAACAGAACCCCAAAUUCUUCUAUGCUGUGGACUUAAAUGAAGAGCAUCGAUUGAGAAAUGUGUUUUGGGUUGAUGCUAAAGGCAUGGAUGAUUAUACUAACUUUGGUGAUGUUGUUUCUUUUGAUACUACCUACUUCAUGAGGAAGUAUAAGAUACCAUUAGUACUAUUUGUUGGUGUGAACCAUCAUAUUCAGCCAACGCUGCUUGGUUCUGCAUUAAUAGCAGAUGAAACAGUAUACACAUUUCUUUGGCUGUUACAAACAUGGUGUUUGUCAAUGGGGGGACGGGCUCCACGAGUGAUAUUAACUGACCAAAGUAAUGCCUUAAAAGCAGCUAUUGGAGUAGUCUUCCCUGAUUCACGUCAUUGUUUCUCUCUCUGGUCUGUACUUGAAAAGAUCCCUCAGCAUCUUGAUUAUUUGAGCAUGUGGCAUGAUAAUUUCAGGGAAAAAUUUAGCAAAUGUAUAUAUAGGUCAUGGACUGAAGAACAAUUUGAGAAGAGAUGGUGGAAAUUGCUCAACAGGUUCAAUCUUAGAGAGGAUGAAUGGGUGCAAUCCUUAUAUGAAGAUCGGAAAUUAUGGGUGCCCACUUUUAUGAGAGAUAUAUCUUUUGCAGGAUUGUCCACAGGCUCACGAUCUGAAUGUUUGAGCUCAUAUUUUGAUAAAUAUGUGCUCGGAGAAACUUGUUUGAGAGACUUCAUUGAGCAAUACAAAGUAAUCCUUGAAGAUAGGUAUGAAGAGGAAGCCAAGGCAGAGUUUGAUGCAUGGCAUGAAGCAUCAGAGUUGAAGUCUCCUUCACCUUUUGAAAAACAAAUGUCACUAAUAUAUACUCAUGAAAUUUUCAAGAAGUUUCAGGUUGAGAUUCUGGGAGCAGCUGCAUGUCAUCUCAAGAAAGAAAAAGAUGGGACCACAAUUAUAUAUGCUGUUAAGGACUUUGAAGAUAAUCAAGAUUUCACUGUGGAAUGGAAUGAAUCAAAACCAGACAUUUAUUGUUCGUGUCGCUUAUUUGAAUAUAAUGGCUAUCUCUGUCGACAUGCUAUUGUGGUUCUGCAGAUGUCUGGAGUUUUCAGUAUCCCAUUUAAAUAUAUUUUGCAAAGAUGGACAAAUGCUGCUACAAGCAAACAUGCUAUCAGUGAGAGAUUGGAUGAAAUUCAGUCCAAGGUCCGUCGUUACAAUGAUCUAUGUCGACGAGCUAUAAUUUUGGGUGAAGAAGGGUCAUUAUCACAAGAGAGUUACAGUAUUGCAGUAAAUGCCAUAAAAGAAGCACUGAAGCAGUGUGCAAGUGUGAAUAAUUCCACUGAGAAUCAUUUGCGACUAAGCACCUCACCUACUCCAAUUUGUGGACCUGAGGAGGGAAAUCACAGUAUUGCCACAUCAUCUAAAGAGCAAGCACCUAAUCUUAAAAUGGCUGUGUCAAACAUAGGUUAUAGGGGAGGUGAAUUUGGGAAAGAAAAAGCAAAUAAUGAUAAUGAUGCAAAUAAACAGAGGAAGGCACCUUCAGAGCCAGGAGCUGUUAACGUUGGGAUACAAGGCAGCUUUCAGCAGAUGGAACUGUCUACCUUGAGGCCUCCACAGUUGCAUGAUUUGGUGCCGGCACAUCUACAUAAUCUGUUUUCAUAAUUAGUGCUUGUGCAAUGAUUCUCUCCAAUCAAAGGAAGAAAUUGAGGUUGAAUGUGAAGAUGUAGCCUUGUUGAAUUUCCUGGAAGAACUUUACGAGUUUGUGCAUCAGAAUUAUGCCAUAUAUGAUUGCGGGGCCUUGUUACUGCUUCUGUUACAUUCACCAUGAAGAAGAUUGCCCUUGCAGUUGGGACAUGUACUAGAAUUGCAUUAAGAUCUACUGGAACGUUUUCCACGCAUUUCCUUGGUGAUUGGAAAGUACACCCCUUCAUCCUUGCAAUCCCAUAUCUUACUCUUAGGAUGGUAUGUGCCGCGUCUCUCAGUUAGGCCUCUUAUGCCUCAUUAUUGUUGAUAUGUAGGGAGCAGCCUCCUAACUUUCUCCAUUUGAUCUCCAAACUCUGAGCUUCUUGUAUUUUAUUUUCCAUCUCUUGGUACAUCUUGAUUUUUUGGGGCUGAACAUUGAUCAAGUUGAUACUGAAUCAUACAGAAAAUCUGAGCAGCAGUUCAUUUUUCA
RNA transcript from Diospyros lotus (date-plum), 3179 nucleotides. It is a transcript of the gene named protein FAR1-RELATED SEQUENCE 4, with no coding region annotated. The record is from RefSeq and is a predicted model, not a curated record. NCBI's taxonomy places the organism in Eukaryota, Viridiplantae, Streptophyta, Magnoliopsida, Ericales, Ebenaceae. The transcript is spliced from 7 exons.